GAUAUAUUUAAUCCGGUGGCGCCCGAUAUGUACUUUUCGUGAGGCGAUUUAUUUAUGGGCGGAGAACCGAACGUGGCUCAAAUGCGAGUUACAAGGUGAACAUUAAUAUAAUUACUAAGGUGUUUAUAAGAAAUACCAUAAUGCGAGCUUAAAACGUAUUCGAACAAUUUAUUCCAUUAUAUAAUCAUGUAUAACCUAUACAUUUACACGCGCAUACACGUUCACGGUGAUUCACUAAGUGUGCUCAAGCCAUUUUUAUUUUUAUUUUUUUUUUUGUCUUGGUUAAAUUAUGCAUACAUUCAAAUUCUGAUUUUUGGGAUUUUUAAGUGUGUUUAAAGUCGAUGUGUUUUCGAAUACUUCGAUAACAAUUUCCCAACAAUUAAGGAGUGGCGAUCCAGUGGCGAUACCAACUUUGAUUUUUCAAAUGAGCAUCUAUAUUGAAAACGCCGUAUAUUGACGGAGUAUUGUCAAAAUUGUUGAUUUCUGUCAACCCGUUGACGAAAUAUUUCGUUCGUAAGUUUAGGUAGUGGAGCACUACUAAAAACACAGGAUACUCCUUACACGUUGUGAAAAAUCUAAGUAUUCGAAAAUAUCGGCUUAAACUAUAUACGUACGUUUAAAAAUUUCAAAAAUCAGAAUUUGAAUUUGUGCAAAAUUUAACCGAAACAUGUGAGUGAGCGCGCUUAGUGAAUCUUUUGAUUCUUAUCGAAUUUCAAUAAUCAAUAAACGAAUCUUCGAGAGUAUAUAUAGAAGAGAGAGAGAGAGAGAGUAUCUUGAAAAAACAAUAAAAAACAUACAAGAUACAAUAGGCGCAAACAAUGAACAAAAAAAAUAAAUACUGCACGAAAAGAUACAUAGAUACAAAUGCGCACCGAAGUUAUUGCCCGUCCCUGCUGGUUAUCGAGAUAAGACUUUACCAUUAUUAUUAUUAUUGUUUACUCGAACAAGUCUCGGUGUUCGAUUAGGUAUUUUCUAUGGAAAAAAAAAAAAAAAUAGUAAGAUUAUUAUUAUUUUUUUUUUUUUUCUUAUACGUGUGUAUACAACUACUGUAUUCUAUAAUAACAUUACGUUAUAUUAUAAUGUAAUGUACGUGUAUUAUUAUUAUUAUUAUUAUAUAGGACCGAAUACGGUAUACUUUGUAUAGUAAUGAUAAUAUUAUUGCUAUUACGUUUAUCGCGUUUCGCCGUUCUCCGCCGCCGCCGCCGCCGCCGCCGCGCCGUACAAGGCCACCGCUGCGGAGAUAAGCGCGAGAAUUAUUAUUUGACGUUAUUAAAUGCUUGUACAAGAACGCGCGCGUGACGGCUUUUAAACUUUUUUUUCGUAUCGGCCCGACCUAUAACCUACAAAAAGAGAUAACAUUACGGGGCGGUAAACGCGGUGCGGGGGAUUGGCGAUGGGGGGGGGAGGAGGACGGGGGAAAAAAAAAAUCGUAUAACGGCGCGUUAUAAACACCGAAAAUAUCCGCGUUUAAAACAAUUAUCUAUUAUUGUUCCGUACCCGCAGGCGUCGUUUCGGUCGGAAUACCGGGGCAACAACAAUAAAGAAAAAAUAAUCUACGAUAAAAACCAUUCUUAUUUAUUUUUCGAAAGUGAAACGGAAAAAAAAAAAAAUGCGCGGCGUAACGGUUCGCUCGCCGUUAUCCGUGAUCCUAAUCGUUAGCACAUUGUAACAUUCCGAAUGCGGUUGAUUUCGUGGCGUUGCGACAUGGCCGUCGACGUUUACCGCCGGAUUUCAAAACUCAAAAUCUCAAUAAAAACUGCGCGUUUCGCGUACGGUCGAACACUUGACCGCGGACCGGCGUUGCCGAACGUACGCCGCGGUGAGUUCUUAUUUCGUAAUCCGUUGUGCGGCGGUUAAAGACGUUUUGCAGAGAUCGCUCGCAACAGAACAAAACAACUAAAUCUGCCGAACUUGUUCGCAAAAUGUAUUCGUUUGUGUACGCCGACAAUCGAAAAUUGUUUCGGUCUAAAUGCGCUUUGUUUCGUACUACAAGUCACGACUAAUUACUGCGUUCGCUAUUUACUGUGUAUGUAAACGAAUCGUUUUCGCCGAGGCUUGCAAUCGCAAUAGAUUUCGACUUUUGAGAGACCGCAGGACACUUUUCGGCGAAUGUCCACUGCGUGCCCCCGCUCUUCUGUCCCGAGAAAACAAAAAAAAAACACACCGAACCUCCCCCAGUCACUCUUCCGCCGAGAGUAAUUUUCACCGUAAAACAGAAUAUCUCGUUGCAAUAUCUCGCUCUGCUUUACGGCGUCGGAAAAUACAUUUUUUAUUUUUUUUUUUAAACGCCCUGCCGGCCAUCAGAGAAAAUCGACCGCCGCCUUUUCCGCUUCUCUCCUCGCCGUCCGACGGACAGAUAAAUAUUAAUCCGGACAGAUAAUCUACAUAACAACAAUGAUUACCGAGCGUUCGCGUUUGUAGUUUCGAACGCACGGCGGCGUUGUCCCGCGUUUGUAUGCUGCGGUUUUUUUUUUUUUUUUUUAGAUUGACGCGCGCGUUUAUAAUUAUUUCGUCGAUCGUAUUUUUCCCAAACGUAUUCCGGCCGGCGCGCACAUGGCCGAACGUCAGAAAUUAAUAGCGUGUAGCCGCGGCCGCGUAUUUUGAUGAAUCGCACAUCGACUACCGGAAUUAUUGUGCUGUUCGUUCAUAAAAAAAAAAACCUAUGCUAUUGAUUUACGACAGGUAAGUACGCGGCGUAACCGCCUCCGCGUUCGACGAGGUUUUUUUCAACCGUCUUUCCGCUAUGUGUACGCCGUUAUUAUCGUACGGCCGCGGCGCAGCACAGAAGCGGUUUAUUUUUAUAAUUUUUCAUUUUUUCGUAAGUCAUUAAUGAAAAAAAAAAAAAAAAAAAACGAGCCCGGACUUGUGCGCCGUGAAACGAGAUAAUACUAUCGGGGUCCCACCUAUAUACGCGUCUACGACCGCACCGACGGGUCCGCGGCCGGCGUAACGACAGCGGAUACCUCCGCGCCGCCGUGCCGGUAAUUAUACCCGCCGCACGUAGCCGCGACGGAUGUUAAUAAACCGGAGGUAAUUAAUUCCGGGCGGCGCGAGCGCACACGCCGGCCGGCACCGUGUCUCGCAGCGCUGCGCCGCCGCCGGCGAUUUUCGGCCGUUCCUCGCCGCGGGCGUUCCCGUCGCCGAAACGUCUUGCGGAUUUCAAUCCCGCCCGGCGAGUAUCACCGCCGACAAACUCGCGUUUCGGACAAUUGUCCGCCCGGCGCGAACGCACGCCGCGGCGGUUACCGUUGUAUUGCGCGCCGGGUACCGUGUUCGUUUGCAUUAGGACCGUUCGCAAACAAAAUUACAGCGUUUAUUAUUCGCCGCCGCAGUAAUAUUUAUCGGCGCGAACAGAAUAAAUUAACGCACCGCCGCCGACUACGAUUUCAAUAUAAUUACAAUGCUGUUCGGCGGAAUGCGUAACCGCGCAGUAUUAACACGGCGGUUCGUUUGCUGCCCGAGAGAAGGCGUUUAUUGCCAAUGUUUUUUUUUUUUUUUCUGUAAUCCUUCGAUCGGUUCGACAAUCGCUCUAAUUUAAGAUUUUCGAUUGCGGUAAUUUGCUUUCGGUUUUCUACGUCCGCCGCGAUUAGCUCCGUGCAAGUCACAAGGGCCGCGCAAAACCAAGAGAGAAAAAACAAUCAAAAGCGAAACAUUUCGGACUACUCGAGUUUUGCGGACGGCAAUACGCUUUUGACUAUAGUCGUUCUGAAAUGGCGUAAAUUAACAGAGGGUACUGAGACGGUACGUUGAACGAAUCGGGCGUUAUUUGAAGACGAUUUUUGUACUACAAAUGAUCGACGGGGGAAAAUUUAAUAUCGGGUCGAAUGAAGAAUCGAGGAUGUCGAAUUGAGGUACCGGUUUUGUAAGAGAUACGGGGAGCGGCGGUAUAAAAUGGACCGGGCCCUGUACGGAGAUCGGAGGAGAUACCGGGGGACAUAACAAGUUGAAAACCGAUCACAGAACGACCCGAACGACGGUGGUCAGAUAGCAUAACGAGAGAUCUUUGGAUGAUUCCGGGGCAGAGAACGCAGAAGAAAUAUCAACGGACGGGGAAUAACGAAGGCAUGUUUUUGUUUAACAAUCUUCGGUAUGCCCGAGAUUAAGAAGAAACUGAUCGGCACAAAUUUAGACAAGCAAACGUAAAAUUAUCCUAAUUGUCGAUCAAACUAGAAAACGGCGAUACGUGUCGGAAAUUGUAAAGACAACGACCGAGGUGUAUCACGAGGUGCAAUGUGCAACAUACAUCAUACGAACGUCAGACGAGAACCGAUAACAUCUCUGUUGCCGUCACGCGUCGCCGUUACGAAAAAAAAAACAUCACGAAUAAAAAUUGUUUUUAUUAUUUUUUUUUUUUUUUUUUUUUUUUUUUUAGUAGGUACAGUUUUUAUUUAUAUUUCAAUUCGUACAAAUGAAAAAUGUUUAAAAAAAAUUAUUUAUACAGGUAUACAAAAAAUAAACAAUAUUCAAACGACGGCGGCGGUGGCAGCGGCGCAGUGACGGUGGCGAAAUGAAACUUUGUUGCUCCGGGGAUUUUUUUUUUUUUUUUUUUUUCUCUGAAGAGGAAAAGUUGCUCGCAUAAAUGGACUAUGAUGGGGACGGUAGAGGACGAGAAGAUAGAUGAAAAUGAAUAAUAAUAAUGAUGACAUAAAAAAAUUGUUUCGGAAACUUUUUCUUAUAUUAUACUCGAGCAUAAUUAUUUAGGAAGCACGUAUAGUGUGGUACUACAGUAGUUGUGGUUGUGGUGACGGUGGUGGUGGUUGUGGUGGUGUCCCACAUAAGAAAAAAAAAAAAUAAUAAUAAUAAUAUCCACAGCCAGCCAUUGUUGGUGAAUAUUGAUCGAGUUCGUGAACGAAAAAAAAAAAAUAAAGAAAAAAAUAACACCCACCAUUUUUUUUUUUUUUUUUUUUUUCUUACACUGCGUUUAUCAUUGGCGUUUUAUCUUUUGCCGGUGCUGCGUGAUUCUACGCGACGACGACGAUGACGCGGAAAAUAAAUAUAAAUAAAUACAAGUGCAGUGCAGCGCAGAAACGCGUACACCGCCGCGCACGAGAAUAAAAUUUACACGCUGCAAUUUUCAUAAAUUAAUAAUACUGUUCGUACUACCGCAGCGGUUAAAACGCCGCGCUUUGAAAUUGAAAAUUAACGCGCACUUGUGCGUGUUAUCAUACACAUUUUUCCGUACGAAAACUUGAACGGAACGCGUAUAAUAUUCAUUGUUUACAAUUAUGAUGGUUGUUUUUUUUUUUUUUUUUUUUCUUCUACGGCCUAUUACACCCAUCGGUUGUUGUUAUUAAUCGAAUCGGAAAAAAAAAAAAUAAAAACGUAAUUUGUCCAACAUUAUGUUGUUCACUCGUUCUACUAUUUUAUACCACUCGCACGUUGUUAUGAUUAGGGUUCGGACGAUGUUUGCGAAAUUGCAUAUUUUUUUUUCCGUUUAUCCAAUUCGAUUCACGUUUUCCACGGAAUCAAAUAACACUAUUUUUUUUUUUAUUUUGCAUAUCUUAUGGUUUUGUAUUUUAAAUGCACGUGCAGUAGAAGCCGUUUAUUAGGAACACGGGUAAUUGACACGAUCGCGUUAUCGAAACAAAAUUUAUUGGGACGGACCGGUCGUAUAUUGAAACCGAUCGUUUAUUAGAAACAAUCGGUUAAUUGACGCGUUUCACCUCGGUCCCAAAGCGUACGUAAUAAACGGCGUCUACUGUGUUCACGGAUUUUAUGAACACAAACGCAUAUUUCAGUACAUUUUCGAACUUUAUUGUAAACUAAUACGUAAUAAUAAUAAUAAAUGAAAACAAAUACUAUAAAAAAAAUUAAAUACUUAUGGAAAUACAUUUUUUUUUUUUUUUUUUGUGCAUAUUUCGGCGUUUUUUUUUUUCUAACUAAAAACGCACGUUUUGUAAUUUUUUAACGCAUACACGCGUGCAUAGUAUCACGGUUAUUUUAACCGCGCAAAACCCCCGAACCCCCGUUGCCUGGUCACACUACGUUAUCACCGUACUUGAGCGUACCGGGCGUUGAAAAUGAAAUGAAUAAAACGAUAUUUCACGUUGCGUUACGUUGUUGUCGAUAUCCCCGCGUAUUCAUUUGGUUUUUUUCCCGUGUUUACACGCAUAAUGCUUUUGUUUUUUUUUUUUAUAUAUUUUCAUUCGUGCGCUGGCGCCAAUAUUGUUGCGAGUAGCCGGGUACGCACGCACGCGGAUUUCAAAUGUGUGCGCGCGCGUUCUACUUUUUCGCGUACAACAAUGGAAAAAAAGCGUGCGCACUCGAGAUUCGCGUUGACGCGACCGUGCGUUAUCGCGUGUUUUUCAUUAAGCCCGCGCAUCACAUUGCGCGGCGCGUUAUUGUUCAACAUUACGUUACGAUGACUUUCUAUCGGACAAUUAUCGCAUUUCGAUUGUUAUAAAAAACGCGGCCGCGAGUUCCGAUCGUGCGCGCACCGGCGCUAUCGUAUUAUACCGGCGGCGGCCGUAACCGGGCAGAAGUGGCGUCGCCCUCCCCCCCCCCCGGCGGCGUGCGUUCGGGUCCGCGACAAGCCGGUACCGGUUCGCCCACUCGGACCGGGGACCCCAGACCCGCCGCCGAUCGGUCCGGUACGGUGCGCGUGCACCGGAGCGACGAGAACCGUCGAGAAGCGGAUUUGACGAAUUCGGUACGGCCGCGUGUUUUUUCACUCCGGGUAUUUCCCGGCUACACGCGGAGUGCGGUACACAGAGAUCGCGGCUGCGGUUCACACGGCGGGAGGACGACGUUCCGAAAUAAUAAUAAUAAAAAAAAGGAAAAAAGUAAAAAAAAAAAAAGAACCCGUCGGCCGACAGUAAUAACAAUGUAAUCUCAAAGAGAUUAUAAUAAUAACGCGCGUCGGGACGCGGACCAAACGUACCCGCGCGUAGUAUCCGCGCGCGGAAAUGUUCGCGACAAGUCCGCAAGUAUAUUUCAGCGCUGCUGCGAGUAUAUAUUAUUCUGCAAUACAUACAUACAUAUAUAUAUAUAUAUAUAUACACGAUGUAUACGUGUAUUUAUUAGGCGGGGAGGGUCGGUUAUAUAGGGGUUUCGGCGCCGCCGCCGCCGCCGCGCGAGUGGUAAUUAAUUUAAGCAAAUUAUCGCGCGCUCAACCGCCGCCGCCGCCGCCGCGCCGCAUCCCCCUCGCUCACUCCCCCUCCCCCCUCUUCCCCCACCAAACCCCUCCAUCGUUCGGCGGCUCCGCGAACGUACGCUCCGCCGCCGCCGCCGCGGACACCACCGCCGUCGUCGUACGCGCGAUCCCUGCUGCGGUCCCACCGCCGCCGCCGCCGCCGGUGUAAACAAGGAAGCUAUAACGCGGGGUCCACUCCGCCGCCCCACCCCGGCGCACGUCCCGCGACCCGUCCCUUUGUGUUUAGACCGUCCGUUCCCCGUGCCCGUCCCUGCCGCGCCGUACCCCUCCUCGCCAGUCACUGCCCGCCGUCGCCCGCGCGCCGCCGCCGACGCCGACCGCCCGCCCGACGACCAAUGGGCGAACGGGGUACGCGCCGACCGGGAUUUUGAUCAUCGGCCGAGAUGUAUGCAUAUUCAUGAGGCCACUCCUCCCGGCGUCCGCGUCCGUGUCGUCGUCGCCGUCGUCGCCGCCGUCGUCGACGACGGCGACGACGGCCGGGCGGAGGAGCUUUUAUACGGUUUUCGCCGUAGUGGUUCUCAAAAUCGUAUCGCGGUACGCCGCCGGCCCGUCAUAAUAAUACCGUAUUGGCCGCGGAACGAAAGAGGAAUUUCGAAAACGUUUCCGCGCGCUUUUUAGUAACCGAACACAAGCGGUUUCCCCUCCCCCCACCCCGGAAAACCGUACGCGGAAACCGCGCGAGACCCGUCGGUCGGGUCAGGUAGAUAAGGGGGGGUUUUAUCGUUGUUUUUUUUUCGCGCGGUGCGGAACGGCUACGUAUAAAAAUAUGUCGAAAUUGUACACUUAACGGUUUUUAUUACUGUGUUUCACGCCGCGCAGUUGUUGCGAUCCAAUCGCUUGACAAGAUAAUAAUAAUAUACCCGCGUCCGAGUGCGGCGUACCCGUUCGAUACGCACGUAGCGGGAUAAUUAAAAUCCCACGGUCGGUCGAAACGCGUGCGGUGUAAAAUAAUAUUAUAGACAAAACACCGUAUGGGUACGCGAUAAUGUGCAUCGGAAUAAUAUAUUCCGGUUUUUAAAGAGCGCACGCGGUAUCUGCUGUUGUGUACAUUAUAUCGCAUCGGCGAUCUGAAAAAAAAAUAAUAAUAAUAAAAUAAAUAUAUCACAAAAAUAUUGUGUGCGUUGCGCUCACCUACGAUCGUGCGAUCCGGCCGUGUGCGCGCGUGAAGCAUAAUGUGUUGUGGUGAAAACGGCCAUAUGUGUCGCAGAAACGGAAACGCGUCGAAUACAUAUUUAAUACGACAGUAUGCACGGUUCGGUACUUGUGCGGCGGCGGCCACUUAAAACGACGGAAAAGCGUUUGAAAAAAAAAAAAAAAAAAAAAACUUUACCGCGCGCCUUUAAAAAUCUUAAUAAGCCUUUUUAAGCGCCGAAACAAACACUGUCGACAUCCGUUCGAAAAAAGCACAGAAGAAAAAAAAACAACAAACAUUUAAUACAAGUCGGGUAAUGGAAUACAAAGACGAAAUUAUAUUUUAAAAUUACAGGAAGCGAAAGAGUCUGGGUUUUCGCCACUGGGGUUCGUAACCACAAGAGUACAAGAUAUGCAAUAAGACUUGGUGAAAAUCGUUAUUAUUUUUUUGAAUUUUCAUUUAAUUAUCGAAACAAGCAAACAAAACUUGGCACGAUGGACGGACCACUGUUGUGGGCGAGGAGUUGGGAGGGUAGGGGAGAAAUGUAUUGUAUAUCUGUACGCAUUGCUGAAGAAAUACGAUUUUUUCCGUUUUUCCUACGUAUUUCAAAAAACGACCCCCUCAAAGAUGUCCACUACCCAGUCAGAUUUCCCUUCGGGUACGCUCGCGGAGCGGAGCCGAAUCUCUGGUGGAAAAUUAAUUCGCGGGGAAAAAAAAAAAAACGAACGCCGUUGUGAAACCAAUACACAUUUCUCGCUCCGCUCGGAAUCUAAAACGCACUUUUUGAAUUUUACAUUUGAACUCGCCGUUGUAACGCGGAAUAAAUGUAUUCCACGUCCGUCCGCGCCGUAGAUUUCAAUACGGAACCAAAAAUAACCGAAUGAAAUGUACACAAACAAACGUUCCGGACCGAUGGAAACAUGUCGCAUAUUAUACCGGGUGCGCUAAAUAACGGUACACAGUUACGUGCAUUUUUGGCACCAAUGUGCUACGCGCAUAUAGAUAUCAUAUAUAUAUAUAUGUAUAAUAUAGUCGGUCUCGGGGUUUUCUCUUUCGCUCGUUUCGCGUAUAAGACAGCCCCUAAGUACGGUACACAGUAUCGUUAAGGAGAAAGGGGCGGGUGGGGAUGUUUAUAUAUAAAUAUAUAUAUAUAUAAGUAUGUAUAUACGUAGGAGAGGGACGAAAAUAAAAUAAAAAAAAAAAAAAAGAACCAACGAACGGCGACACGCGCGCGCACACACACGCGCACACACGCGCACUAUCGUGUAUAUAUUUUACCGCCAUGAAAUCCCAACGCGCGUGAUAACGUUUUCCUUAUACACACACACCACGCACAGGAUAUAUGCGUACAUAUGAACGCGGUAUAGCGUAUAUUCCCAUCGGAUACACGUGCGUAAAUGUAUACGUACGUAUAGAUAUAUGGACGCAUCGAGACCGGAAAUGCAAAACUUCCCUCUUCCGGCGUCGACGUGUACCUAAAAAUCCCGUGGCUCGGCGCUCGCGGCGAAAUUCUAUAUAAAAUACGACGCGAUGAUCGCGCGAUUUUCCGGCAUUGCGUCACGACGACGACGGUGAUAAAAAAAAAAAAAAAAAAAAACACCAAAGCUUUUGGUCGGUGUGAUUUCCCGGCGAUAUAUAAAAAGAAUAUUACAAGACAGUAAGAGACCAGGCGCGUUUACAAAAUAAUAUUCCGGGGGCGGGUGGGGGGGAAGGGCUAAGGUUGUACACUUUCGUGCUCUUAUAGCAAAGGAGUUUACAUAUACUUUCGACUGUAGCAUUUUUUUUUAUUUUCCGUUGAAAAUGUCAAUGUUUUAUAACAUAAAUUUUCGGCCUUUUAGGUAUAGCUAUCGCUGAAUUUUACAUUCGAUAUUUUUUUUUAGCGAACGCAGCCCAACCGUUACCGUAAUUCGUAUUAUCGCGGUAAUAAUCUGGUUUGUGCAAUUUCGCCGUUAUCGGUUGUAGUUUUCUAAAAGCGGGAAACCCACAAAAAAAAAAAAAAUUAGAAACGAUAACAAUAAUCCACACAUACAAAAUCCAAAUACCACUGACCGACUGACCGAUCGCGCCGCAUCACAAAAACCACCGUAACGUACGGACUCGAAAUUUGGAUUAUAGGUUUUUCUCGUAUUUUCGCCGCGCGUUAAUGAGGGAUUUUCAAAAAAAUGUUGCGUUUCAGUGGAGUAAUUAACAAUUAUGUUAACUGUUCACCGCCGAUACGUAUCGCGCGGCACGGCGGCCCGCGGGUCUCCCGGUCGGCUACCACGCGACCCGUCCUUUUUGUUCGUCGUCGUCGUCGUGUAGACAAGAACAACGAUUCCGAGUAUAAAAUUGUUCCGAGAAGUUUAUCGAUAAAAACAAAUUUAUUUAGAUGUUAGGUUAUUACGCGUAUUGCGACGAUAAUUAUGAAUAUAAGACGGCAAAUGGUAAUGCGUACGGCGUUAUCUAAUUUGUCACGAAUCUGUUUCCGGGCCACGCCGGGUAAUUCGGCUGGUAACAAUAAACACGCCCAAUACCUAAAUAUCCGUUGACAAAAUAAAAAUAAAACCGAAAUCGUAUUUAGUUUCCUCGUCGGCGCGGUCACCGCUCUCGAGACGACUCUAUUAAAAAUCCACGUUUUCAUCGUAAUUCCCGCGAAAUCUCGACGGGGUCGAACGCCAAACGCCCGUCCCCUUGUACGCGUUUCCGCGGGACACCGCGUGCCCCGUGCGUACGACAAUGUUGACGUGUAGCGUGAAAAUCCCGCGUUUUAUACGGCCGCGGAGACGACGACACGCGCGUGUCACGGCGGUAAACGUCGCGAGAUCAUUUACACUUAGUCGUUUCGUGCGGUUCGUUUCAAUAUUAUAAGAGGUAUACUAGUGCGGCGGCCUAUUUGUCAGGCGCAAAUGUGAGAGAGUAUUGUUUGCGUUCGGGUUUUUUUUUCGAUAUUUUAAUUUUCCGUCGAGAUCGAGGGGAUGGUUUUGAAAUCGCAACGUUUCAGCGCACGUCCGUGGCGCGCUCGAAAAUCAAAACGCCGAGAGAGAGAAAAACAACGAACGCGCGCAAAACAAUGUUCUUGUCUUCGGGCGCGAUAACGGGGCAAACGCGCGCUAACGUUAAGACGGCCGUAACGCCGUAACGCGUGCUGCAAAAAAAAAAAAAAAAAAACCUAUNNNNNNNNNNNNNNNNNNNNNNNNNNNNNNNNNNNNNNNNNNNNNNNNNNNNNNNNNNNNNNNNNNNNNNNNNNNNNNNNNNNNNNNNNNNNNNNNNNNNCCCCUCCCCCCCCCCCCACCCACCCACCCGCGAGGACGUCCGAGUAACGUCCGUCCUCCGACGGUCGAUUUCCGCGAACGACCGCGCGCGAACGUCAAUUAUUACCGACAGCCGUACCCGACGUGCGGCGGACGUACGCGGCCGAGACAACCGCGAAAUCGGGAACCCUGCGUGUGCGCUGACGCGGAUCGCACGGCUCCCGCGAACGAUAAUCGCCCCUCGCCAACGCCGUCGGACUGCCGCUCGCGCUCGAACGACGCCGUAACGAAACAACCGUCGCCGGGUGCCGGCGGUCGCGCCAGAUCCGUCCGCGCGCGACGGUCGAACGGCUCACAAGAGCGGCCCGGACGUUCGGAACCGUCCGCGGCCGGACAAUUGAAACCGUCCGCGGCCGGCCGGCAGAAGACCGCGAUCGCCGCGGUCACGGUUCCGGCCGUUUACGGGGCGAAUCGCAAUACGCCGCGCGAGUUCGCCGUCGCGUGAACUUCACCGCGGACGGUUACGGUCUAUACGCGUUCGCCGUGCGUCUCGAGUAUACGCGGGCGACCGGUGUCCGGUCCGCACAAAACCGCGGGCGUUGGAAAAAUCCGCGUACGCGCGCGCGCCGUUCGCGGACAGCGUGUCCGAGCGUGUAGAUUACGCGCGCGUUUUUUUUUUUCGUUCAAGCGUAGACGGAUUCGGCGGUCGCGCACAGUGUUAAUACGCGAUUUCAACCGAGACCGUCACUGCGCGCGCGGACACGGCGCGUACGAAACGCAACGUAUCGCGAUCGUUGAAAUCAAUAAUUUCGACGUUUCGUCGUCGAACCGAUCGUUUUUCGGCGCGUAGACCAUUUAAAUUCUCGUUUUCCUCACAGCCGCGCAAUCGGCUAAUAUCGGUAAUAUCCGCGGUGCGCGCGUUCAACGGCGUUUCCAGGAGAGGUUAUUGGUAUUGUACACACACACACACACCCCCCCCCCUCAUCCAUCCGUCGUCAUUGUUUUAGUUUUUAGUUUUGGGUAACGGUGAGAAACGUUUGGAUCCCCGAACCUCCCAGAUCCCCUCGCUUCCGCCCCAUUCCCGUUUACUCCGCUGCGGCGGGUGUUUCGUAUCGAUACAAAUGUUAUUCGCCUCUGUCACGUUUAAAUCCGCGUGUCCGUGAUAAAUCUAAAAUAUUAUUAUGCGUUUCCCCGAUAUUAUUUUAAUCAACAGUGUUGCAUAUUGUACUAUUAAUAUACGCCAUACGUUAUUCGUUGUAUUUAUUUUUUCAGAUUUGUCGAUUCGAUGCUGACCACUACAUAAAACACCUACUUAAUAAGCGUCACAAUUUAAGAACAUCGCUUUCUACAGUUCGAAUACAUUAGAAAUCACAAAAGAAACAUUUAAACUAAACCACAGUCAAUCACUUUAUCAUGACGGUCAUAACAAUCGCCGAAAUUAUGGAAUUAUUAACGUCGAACUCGUUGCGAUAGAACGUGUAGAGCAAUCUGCGGUCCUGCGUAAAAUGGCAGACCGGGCACAUACGGAGAAUAAAUUAAAAUCGGGAAUCGGAGGAAGAAACGAAUUCGGCACCUAUCACCAGUUUUGUAAAUUUGUAUAUUUGUAUAUUUAUUCGUGUUUUUCAAUUACGAGUCAUAAUAGGUAACGGAAAUUUAGACAAGCGGGAAUUGCACACCUCCUAUAAGCUUUCAAGCUUAUAAAAAAGCUAAAGCACAAGCUUUAGCUUGUGUCGGAGGUGUAGUUUUUAAAGUCAAGUUUGUAAACGGCCAACGAAUUCAAUGGCUUGGGCCGUAUUACGCGCAGAAAUUAGAAGGAGACGCUUAAAUCAGUACUGGAAUGAAAACCAGCUACGGGGAAGAGACCUUGUGGGAGAUCUAUGAGGAAACGGAUGGAUUAGACAGAAGAUCUCAACAAGUUAAAAGUGCAAGAAUAGACGGCGUUAUCACAACGCAGAAUAAAGUGAAGAAAAAUUGUGAUGGCGGCGAAAACCCUGAGAGAAUAUCAAAUGCCAACAGAAGACGAUGAAGAAUAAGAAGAAUUUACAUCCGGAGUAUAUAAAUAAAUCAAUUUUUUUUUUUUUCGCGUUUUCGAGCAUGUUCAAUGUUAAAUUCUUAUCAUGGAAUUUGUAUGAUACCGGAAAUAUACGAAUAUAUGUAAACGUGAAGCUCUUACGUGUAAUAUGUAACCGACAAUACGAACCUAACCAAACCGCACGUUAACACACUUGAAAUUGAAAGUGUAUUCGUUCCUAACGUACUGACUUUAUGUUCGAGCAAUAUGCGCGCAUAAUAAAUAUAAAAUUAAAAAAAUUAAAACGUCUCGAAAUGUACGUUAACUGAAAAUUUAGAUUCAAUAAUGAUUAUUAGUGCGCAUUGAAUGUGCCCAUGAAUAUACGCAAUAUCUCGUAUGAUGAUAUCUACAUCAGUUGGUUGUAGGUGAUGAUCGUUUGUCUGUCUGUGCGCUAUUCACGGUCGAAUUUAGCGCACGCAUACGCCCGUCAAUUUACUUACAGAAGCGGAUAGCGAUUACACAUGAACGAGUGCACCCCGAAGCCGGAUUUCCGAAUUUCGUCCCCUAUAUAAAGGGUGGCUCGCGCAAGACUUUUCGGCAUUUUCGGUACGGAUAUUUUAGAUUCGGAGCGUGGCGAAGGAUCGAUUGGUUUUAUUAUUAUACAUGUAUUUAUUUAUUUUUAUUUUUUUUUUUUCAUUAUAAUUUGUUGUUUACUUCGGU
This 14246-nucleotide long non-coding RNA is filed under the name Cinara cedri. The record is from RNAcentral. Lineage: Eukaryota; Metazoa; Arthropoda; Insecta; Hemiptera; Aphididae.